CUGCGAGAACGUCGCUUUGCUCCCAGUUCCCUAUCAAACUUGAUAGCUUCUGUAAGCCAUCCUUCCUAGCACACGACUCUGUGGUUUCUUUCGGCUUUUUAUCCUCACUUCCACCGUCCUCCUCCAAACUUACUUCUUUGCAGUAUGUAAAUCCAUCACUAUUAGCACUCUGGCAAUAGCCUGAAAAGUUCUCAUUAUUCUCAAUUUGAUUGCCCUUUUCUUGGUGAAUCUGAUUGCCAUUUUCUUGUGGCUUAUCCUCGAUUUUCUUAUUUUCUUCUCCAUUUGGAAGCUCCCGGUCAUUAAUUUCUUCAGCUUCAUCAGAAGAUGCUCCCAUUUGGCCCCUGUAAGGAAUGAAAUUGAAUUUCGUGUUCAACUAUUUAAAGAUUCAACUCUAAGUUUCGUCAAUAGCAAUUGAGUAAGAAUAGGUAUGAUCAAGCUAAUAAACAAAUCACAACAACAAUACAAAUCAGAAACAUAUACAGGGUAAUGCAGUUAUAUCUAGUUCUUUUGUGCUUUCUCCACAAAAGUUCCUCCAUGUUAAUGCAACUCUAUAUCAAUUAAUCUAUCAUACAAGACAAGACAUAAUCAACAAUUGAAAAAUAUGACAACACUAGCUUUCGUCCAGUGAAAUUUUCAUCCAAAGACAGUAGGCAAAACCAAAAAUGUACAAACCUCCAACGUCGUUCUAUAAUCUCUCCCUUCCCAAUAUGCUCAUCAAGCAAUUCCGGCACAUAACCAGGACUGACGAAUGGAUACCUGCAAUUAAUAAUACAUAAUAUUCAAACUCCUUCAUCGAUCCCAAUACGAUAAAUUUUAAAUUGUUAUGAUCCGGAUAUUACCAAUGGUAUGUCAUGCUUCCAUCUGGGUCGGUCGUGAAUAUUCCAGCAUAGUUGUGGCCUUCAAGGUGAAAGCAAGCAGUAACAAAUACCUGAUUCGUCAAUCCUCGCAGCUCAAACUCUUCUUUCAACUUAUCAAUGCGAACACGUGCGCUAUCACGAUUCCAUUCCUCUUGACUCAUAUGUGUGUAUACAAAUAUAAGGGCAAAUACAUGGGGGCCAGUCAACGGCUCUUGCACUCUCGAAGCCCAUGGUCUAUCAUUCACAAGGACAUCAUCAACAAAGCUGUCCACAUCCGACUCUUUCAAGCCCCUUUGAUCAACAAACAAAAACAACCCCAGGAUCAUAAAAAGGGAUUUACAAGAAACAAUAACCUAACACUCUUUACUUUCUUGUAAGGCAAGGAAUUAGUGUAAGGCAAUGAAUUAGUCGUAAACUGAGUCAUUAAAUUCAAUUUCGAUCUAAUUUCAGAAGCUAACACGUAUUUAAUUAUCUAUUUAGUUUAGUACAUUCAGCACAAUCUCGUAAUCAAAAGAGAAGUCGAAACAGAAAUUACUUUAGUCUAAACUAGGAAAAUAAAUUGCACUGCUCAUGUUGGUUAUUGAAUGGGCCCUCGAUUAUGAAUUAAUUACGGUUUGCCAUUGUGUGUGUUAGUGUGGGCCGUGCUUAACAGCUGGGUUGGGCUACCGCAGUUGGGCCCAGGGUGCAGCUGUCACGAGUUUUGGGCUGGGUUUCACUGAAAGAUCAAAUGACUCUUUUGCCCCCUUCAUUUUUAAUCUAACGGCCACCAUUUGGGGCGUUUUUGUUCUGCAAUUCGGUGUGGUGCUAGUUAAGGAGAUCGCGUGUGGUGCUCGUCAAGGAGAUCGCGCAGAGAGGCAGAGAGGCAGAGGGUGACAUCGAGUUUAGGGUUUGCACAGUGAGAGACAAAAGUGUUGAUGGGAAGGGUUGGGGGUGGACAGAGGGUUGAUGGGAAGGGUAGGAGCUAGAGAGGGGGGGGUGGGGGUGAGGGUGGGUUCUGUCCACUGACGUUGGUUGCAGAGAGAGAGAAAGAUGGGAACGGGUACAGAGAGAAAGAGUGAGUCUUUAUUGAGUUUCAGAACUUUCCUCUCUGAUUUUCUGAUUAUUUUCUCAAUUGGGCUUAUUUCUUACCAAUUUCCUUUGAGAUUUAUGCAUGUGUGUUUGUUAAUGCUCUGUUUCUUCGUUUUUACAGGAAAUGGAAUUGCUCUCUUCCUCUUCUUGGCAACCAUGUAUGCCCUCUCUCUCUCUCAAAUUCUUUCAUUAGGGGUCUAAGGUGAUGCCUUUUUGCCUAAAAUAUCAUUUUGUUAAAUGGCUUAUGAUAUUUUGAUUCUCUGCACAUUCUGCGUAGUUCAAAAAGCAAAAUCUCUCUCUCUCUCUCUCUCUCUCUCUCUCUCUCUCUUUUCCUUUUUGUGGCUAAAGAUCAUGUCUUUUGUGUCAUAAAUUUGUUUUUGUUACAUGGGGUUCUGUAUAUCUUUUGGAUAAUCAAAAAGCUUGAAUGUUUACUAGGUUUCUUUAAAUUUCUUUGAAUUCUACCUUGUGAUUUUGGUUUAGAAAUGUGUAGAAUUACAUUUAUGAGGAUCAUAAGGAAGAGAAGCACAUAUCAGUUCUUAGGCAUUCCAUACGUAAUGACUAUGCUUAACUGCCUACUCCCACUUGGAAUGCUGCUUUGCCUCUCUCUCUCUCUCUCUCUCCCCCCCUUCUGCUGUGUAUUGCCUAAUUAGUUAUUUACAUUUGUUUAUUUGUCUCUGUAAAGCUUUCAUGCUUGGAUUUUAAAUGUAUGAUUCAAUUAGAAACCUUUAUAAUGUUGAUGUUAUAGAACAUUCAACAGAUAUAUAUUCAACAUUAGGUAGCUCUGGCAAAAUCAUAUAGACUAAGAUUUGGUAAUAUAUGGAGGUGAGAGUGAAUCUGCCUUGCUUGCCAUGAUAUAGGCUUGCAAUGAUGGCUUUCUCUUUGUAGUACUACAUUCUACUCUUACAUGCUAACAUCAGAAAGCAGACUAAGAUAGAUCCAAACCCAAUUUUAUUAAUUAAAGUUAACGGAAAGAAAAUGAUUUAUGCAUGCCUUUGUUUAUUUGUCACUUGAUUUUGGUUUAGGUUGACCAUAGCUAAAACAUCCAAGACUUGCCUAACACCUAAUUUGACGAAGACCGUAUCCUUUUUAGCCUUUAGGUGUGUGUUUGCUAGCUAGAUGGGUGGUGGGUGAGUCUUGGAUGUUAUCUUGGAUGUCUUGAUUAUUUUGGUGGGCGAGUCUUGGAUGUUUUGGUUCUGUCUUCUUCAACUCUUAUAUCUUCCCUUUUUCUGAAUUUUCUUUAUUUCUUAUCCUUUAAACUUUGUAUUUUUUUUUAAAUAUAUAUAUUUUUUGGUGAUGCAGAUAGAUGAACAUGUUCAAGGGGAAAUCAUGAACCACAGAUCACUGCAUCUGAAUAUUGUUUGAUUCCAAGAGGUCAGUGAUCGUAAACUUUUUCAUUUUGUAUUUUAAGAAUGAAUUUGGCAAGUUGUGUUUGAAUUUUGUAUAAGUAUCUGCUGAGGGUGGGUGGAUGAAGACAGAACACACUAAAUUUGGCCUCUGGUGUGCUUAAACUGGUACGGGGGAUGGUUAGAACUUUGAGCGCGGAAUGCAGUAGGACUAAAAGGAAAUGCCCUACCCACCGGGGCAAUCCACCACUUGCAGAAUUGUUGUCAAAAUAACUCUGCUAAAAAUAUGAUCUAUACUUCCUGCACUUUGUUUUACUGUGAAGUUGAAAUAGUCUUUAGAGUGGCUUAUUUGUGAUAAUCGAUAAAUAGGUUUGUGUUUAAGACUUGAGAGUAGUGCGGUGUCUUUCUUGCUGGUUCUGCUCACACCACCUCAUCUAGCCAUUGUGAUGGAGUACACGGCUGGGUGAGAACUCUUCGAGAGAAUAUGCAGUGCUAGCAGAUUUAGUGAGGAUGAGAUAAAGUAGUUUCAAAUGCAGAGAAAAUUUCAUUGGAAAUGAUUUUAGUGUAGAGUCUCAAAUAUGGGAUCUCUGAAUGUCCCCUGAAAUGGAAUCCAUCUCGAUUUUCGUCUAGUUUCAGAUAGGGAAAGUUAGGUCUGAAGCAUUUUUACAUAAAUAGUCAGUCAUAAUAUAACUAAAACUUACAUACUUUUUCAAUUUAAUUGUUGUUUUGCAUCAGGCAAGGUUUUUCAUCCAGCAGUUGAUAUCAAGAGUUAGUUGCUGUCAUUUGAUGGUAUGUAAAUCCUAUAAAUUCGGAUUAAAAUUAAAGCAACUAUAGAACAAAAACCUCAAGAAAUCAACGCGAGUUUACCUGUAUUUGAUCAUUUGUGGGAAAAUCAACACAUCGCCGUCGGAAAACUCAGUUCCUUCGCGUCCUUCAAUUACUGUCAACAACGUCUAUCAAAAACCAAGAAAAAAGUGAGUAAUGGAGUCGGCUCAACACCAGAACUCAGUAGCUCCAGGAAAUAAGAAACGGUAAGAAAAAGCAAUCAGAAACCCCGACGAAUUGAGCUGGAAAAUGGACCUUAAAGGUGAUGUCGUUCUUGCGAGCUUUGAGAGCAGAUGCGAAGAUUUUAGGGAGUGGAUCGGACUCAUAGCCUUUGAUGCGCCAUGGCCAGGCCUCGAGGGUCUUGUAGCAGAGGAAAACGUGGCGAUAGUAUGACAGUGUAUCGUCAUCAGUGUCUUCAUCAGACUCAUAUGACACAGUAGUGUCUUCAUCAGACUCAUAUGACAUAGUCUCAUAGUUGUCCCAAUUAGUACGAUCAUCGGACAAAUCCCAUUUUACAAUAUCCACUCCAGUUUUGUUCACCUUAAUAAUUGUAUUAUCUAGUCCAUAAAAUUGUGCUUGUACAAGAACCAUGUCGCCGCCUUUCAAAUUGAGCUUCUUGUUUUGAAAGAUUUCCCAACCAAAGAUAAUAUUCAUGGGAAGCAGUUACGGUGGCCUCAAUUGGCCAGAUACGAAAAUUAGUUUGCUGGGUACGAUUAACAACAUCAAUGGUUAGAAACCCACUAGAGUCGGAGUUGUCCGAAGAAUAAACGAUGCCCAAAGCCAACCCUCCUAUAUAAUCAAUACAUGGCGGCACUUUAAAUUUGACAGUUUCAUCCUCUCUCGCGACAUAGGCUAACCGCUUCGGAAUAUCAUUUCUAGAGAGAAAAAUUCCACCAAAUGCAUUUUUCUACAACAUGGGGUGCAAAGUUAGUAAAAGCAACAAUACAAAAAGCAGAGAGAGAGAGAGAGAGAGAGAGAGAGAGAGAGAGAGAGAGAGAGAGAGAGAGAGAGAGAGAGAGUACCAUACCGUUUGGAGGUUCUCCUUAAAAGUAUCAGUGAGACUGGUACACCCUUCCAUAUAAAUUGAAUCCAUGUAGUCCAAUGAGUUCUCCAAGUUUGGAAUAUCUUUGAGUUUGCGGCAGUCUUUCAGUUGCAAGUGUUUCAUUUUCGACAUCUCUGAAAAGUCGGACACUAUUUCCAGUGCUGUGCAGUAAUUCGCUUCCAAUACACAUAAACUGUUGGGCAAAUCUGGGAUUGCCUGAAGGUUUGUGCAAUGAUUUAGACAUAAACUCCAAAGCUGAGAAAGACCACUGAGAAUGGGUAGCCUAUUAAAACCAUUCCCACCUAGAUCUAAAAUUUUUAAAGAAGAUAGACUCCCAAUUAUUUCGAGAAGGGCACCAUCUGUUAUAUUGCAGUCGCUGAGAUGUAAUUCCUCAAUCAUCUUCAGUUGUGCUAAAAAAUGGUAACCCCCACACAAACCCUUACAGUCUCUGAUGGUCAAGUACCGGAGAUGUGGGAGUUUUGAAAAGUUUGGUAAUUCAGUCAGGUUACGGCAGUGUACAAGAACGAGAAACUUCAACUUCUUAGGUAACUGUUACUCAAAAAGAGAAAACAAUAAUAAAAAUCCAAAUAAAUAAAAGAGAGAAUGCAUGACGAUGACUGAUGUUGAUAUUUACAAGGACAUUGAUAGUUAUAUUGUACCAAGUCUGAAUCCUCCCAAACUCGUACGAUCUUGCUGGACCACAGUUCCAUAUAAACUAGGUUUCGUUGAUCAAAAUCUGCUGGUAUGGCUUCAAGAGGAAAUCCAAUCCAAUACAAUAAUCUUAACUCCUUGGAAAGAUGUUUGUAGCUUCCAGUCAGCUUUACAUUUCCCAGCCAGAGAAUUCUCAGUCGCCACAUCUUGUUAAAUGCUUCCGUACUGAAGCUUUGCUCGUCAUCAGAAUGUUCUGGCAAAAAUAAUUCUAGUCCUUCAACUGCUUCUGUUCCCUGUUAGAGAUAUAAAAAAAAAACAAGAAAAGGAUAAUAUUCACACGAAGCAGAGUUGUGAAUCGGAUGAAUGAACUACUAAAAAGGUAGGGCAUACAACAUAAUUAUUUAUUUUCUCUUUCAAAUUACCCAGUGGAUGAAAGCCUUUUCUUUUCUUCUUUUUCUUCGAAUAUACUAUGUAUGUCAUACACUAUAUAUAUACAGGAUAUGCUUAUAUACUUCUCUUUUUUCAUAUGUACUUAACAUCUCUUUUAUUGCAAAAGUACUUACAGAUUCGUUCCAUAGCACACUUUUUGCAUCUUCCAUAUGCCACAAUCGACUACGUUUUCCCAGUUCCACAGGAGAUUCUGCCCGCACAAUUUCUCUUCCCAUAUCUCGAAUCAAAUCAUGCAUCCUCAAUGCUCCCCCUUUAUCAAUAUAUAAGAGACAUCGAUCACAAAGUGUGGUAAUUUCUGCUUCUACAGAAAAAUGACUACAACCAUCCAAUAUUGUCGUGACCACACUUAUAGACACUCCAAUAAAGAAAUUAGAUAUGUCAAGGAACACACCCUUCACAUGAUCGUCACGUAACCCAUCGUAGCUUAAUUUAAGUGUUUGAUGAAUUUUUCCAUCUGGAAUAUUUCUUAAUUUAUUCAAUGUACUUUUCCAUAUGCUUUUACUCUUUUUCGUAGCCAACAAACGGCCAACAACUUCAAGAGCUAGGGGCAAUCCUCCACAAUAAUCAACAACAUCUCUUGCGAGUUCAAUAUAUUCUUCAUCGGGACAAUCAUUUCCAAAGGCAUGCCAACUAAGAAGCUUAAGAGCUUCAUCAUCAGUCAUUCCUUGUGCUUUAUACCUUUUAUCCACCUUUUGUAUAUUCAGCACUUGUUCAUCUCUUGUCGUUAUAAUAAUCCUACUCCCUGGACCAAACGAGUCAUGUGCUAUUGCCAAUUUAUCUAAUUGGUCCGCAUCAUCUAUGUCAUCAACCACGACAAGUACCUUCAUGCUUCCAAGUCUUUUCUCUAUCUCCUUGGUUCCUUCAGCAACAUUGCUUACCUUAAUGUCAGGCCGUUUCAAAAUAUCUCCAAGAAGUUGUUCUUGCAGACUAACCAUAUUUUUCUUGUUACUCCUCACCUCUUCAAGGUAACAUUGACUACUGAAACUAUGACCAUAUUUGCUACAAAUGGCUUUGGCAAGUGUUGUUUUACCUAUACCGCCUGUACCCCAAAUUCCAAUUAUUUGAACAUCAGGUGAACCUCCAACGUCUAAGUAUUCAGUGCUGAAUUCUUGCACGCGAAAAGCUAUUCCAACUGAGUGCUUGGCUUUUAAGUCUACGGGUUUCAAUAUUCCCUUGAUGUCCCCAGUAAUUUUCUCGAUAAACACUCCUUCACGCCUACAAGUAGAAAUUCCAAAUUACGAGAGCCAUACUAAAUGCCUUAAUCAUCAUGCCUUUAUAUUUACAUAUUGAAACAGAUUGGAAUAAAUUGUGAUUUACUGAGCUCAAUUCAACCACGUAUUUAAUCUUCGAUUAUAACGUGAAUAACCAAUUGGACUACUACACAAUUGUAGCUUUCAGUUAUAUAAUUAAGAAUCCAUUACAAUUGGUAUUUUAAUUUGAUAAAGUGUGGAGCAUUUGUCCUUCACACACCUAUAAAAAACAAUCACUUCCUUAAUUUUGACGGAAAUUCUUAUGCAAAUGCUCUACAACAAUAACAACAACAAAGCCUUUUCCCACUAAGUGGGGUCGAUAAAUAAAUGAUGCAAAUGCUCUACCUUUUAUAAAAUUCAUAUGCCAAUUCUAAUAAAUUUUUAUGCAGUGACCAAAAUUACAGUUCUAUCAUAGUUCACGGACCAACGAUCCAAUUUUUCUUAUAACUUAUAAAAUCAGAUUCAAUGCCUUAAUUAUAAUAUCUUAAUUUUGGUUGAUUAGUGAAAUAUGGCGAUAUGAAAUUUGAAGUAAACAAAAAAGUAUACCCGUCGGCCGUGGUUUUGAGGUUCCAGCCGGCCAAAUCUGCAGAAGCCUUAAGAUCCUCUCUCCACUGCUUGACCACAUUUGGAUCUUCAUCCUUUUCAUGCUUCUGAAAUGCUUCCCCAAAACUAUCUUUCUGUUUCCUGACUUGAGAAGGGUCAACGUCGUAGAAUAUUGGACACACUAUUUUCCCCUCUUGAUUUUUUAGGCACCUCAUGAUCUUCGACAGCUCCCUCAGGCACCAUCGGGACUCGGCGUACCUCUUUGAGAAGACGAUGACGGCGAUUCUCGACCCUUCGAUUUCUUGGUCAAGUUCCCUCUGUAUGUUUUCCCCCCUUCUGAGCUGUGUGUCUAUAAAUGUGUUAAUUCCGGCAUUGCGUAAUGCAAUGAAGAGGUGGUCUGUGAAGGUAUUGCGGGUGUCUUCACCUCUAAAGCUCAGGAACACCUCGUACUUCCAGCGGUUUGAGCUCCGCGAGGAAGACGAAGAGGCGGCAGCGGCGGCUCCAUGGUCGGAGCUGCUGGCAUCCAUUGCAGCCUGUAGAAGUGCAGCUUGACUUUCAAAUAACCAAAGUCAAUCUUUCCCAAGCUUCCCGAGUGUAGGCGACCCUAUUAAAUUUUUUGCAUAGGGCAAUGAUGUCACUGCCGUGUCGAUAACGCGUGAGUGGUAUUCCUCCCACAAUUUAAUUUGUAUAAAUGUUACCAUCAAAUUUUAAAAAAAUAAAUCGUAUAACUGCUUUACGAUGCAAUUUCCUUUCUUUUGUAGUUUUAAGGGUGGUGCGCAGGUAGGUUCAACUGCGGCUGCUGGUGGACGUCACGACAGCGUUAUAAGAAUCUUCGGUGAAAACAGGUCCACAAACACCACAUCUAUUAUCUCGACACCAUGUGCACAUACAUUACAUGGGAGCCAGUCAACGCCUCUUGCACUCCGGAAGCCCAUGGUUUGUGAUUCACAAGGACAUCAUCAACAAAGCUGUCCACAUCCGACUCUUUCAAGCCCCUUUGAUUGAGAAACAAAAACAACCACAGAAUCACAAAGUUAAAAAUCCCCAAAUACUUAUCGCUAACACGCCCAUUUAGGGCUGGUUUGGUAUUGCUGUGCUUUGAAAAAAAGCUGCUGUAAGAAUAAGCGGCUGUGCUGUGAGAAUAAGCGGCUGUGAAAUAAAACCAGUAGAGUGUUUGGUAAACUUUUUUGUGAAAGUGCUUUUGGAAAAAAAAAGCAGGAUGAUAGUGUGUCUUUUUAUUAAAAGAGCACCGUAGCUCUGUGUGCUUUGAAAAAACUGGUUUUUUUUUCAAAGCAGCAAAUAGCAGCUUCAGCUUUUCCUUUGAUUUUCAGCUUAUUCUCACAGCAGCUUCCAAAAUAAGCUCUUUUUUUUUUUUCAGUUUACCAAACACAAAAAUGACCAUCAGUUUUUUUUCACAGUGGCUUUUUUUAAAAUCACCUCAAUCCCAAACGGGGCCUUAGUAAUCACAAAUACUUAUCGAAAACUAGACAACAACCUUCACUAAGUUUUUGUGCUGCACUUUCGACAUCAUUGCCACUUCCCUCGCAAACCGCUCUUCUCUCUUGGCAAUCUGCUCUGGGGUUUCUCCUCUAUGAACAUUUUUUACAGCAACUUUUUGACUCUUAUAUCUAGAACAAACAAACGCAACCACCAAACAGAUUAAGAACACAACAGAACAGAACAUCAUCGUUGUAACUCGACACGAAAAACACAUAUUCGGCAUCAUAAACACCAUAAUUGCAGAACACCAAAUCAAGUUUUGAUCUUUGAUUAGUUCUGCAAAAACCCAACUCAAAUUUGCAUUUAUAUUUAACAAGAUCUAAGGCAUCAUAUUAAAUUGCUAAACUUGAGAGACCAGAAAUUCAGAAUUUAAGACAAACAAAAGAUGUUUUGGAUCGAUCAGCCACUUGGCAUCCAAAUCGAAAUCCCCAACUGAAUAAACCCCAUUACCAGAUCCCAUAAUUUUCUCUCUCUAAAAUUCAACAAGAACAAAACAAGAACAACAUACACUGACUAAUUAACCAAAACAAAGGGUACCCUUUAUUUGUAGGACCACAUUUGAAGUAAAGAUGAAAGCUUUGGUCUGGAUAAAAAUGGAAAAAAUUAAUAAAAUCAGCAGACUUCGUAUGAUUGGAGAGGGAGAAAGAUGAAGACUUUCUAUAAUAAAAGGACUUGCUUGGUACUGUAGGUUUCAGAAAACAGACCCAUCCCCGGAAUCACGGUUGAGGAUCCUACAAAGAAUUUAGCACAAGAUUGUUUGCCCUCCCACUUCCGGUGCCCUCUCAUGUCCUUCUGUUUUGUGUGGUCACGAUUAAGCCAUAUCAAUAUUUUAUAUUGUUUUUUUUAUAGAGAUAAUAAGAUAAAAAUAAAUAGUAAUAUAAAAUAUUGAUGUAGCUUAACCGUGACCAUACAAACAGAAGGGUACAUGAGGGCACUAGAAGUGAGAGGGCAGACAAUCCUUGUCCAAAAAUAAAAUCCCAGAGGCACCCACCAACAACCCUACAAUAUAAAAAGGAGGUGGAUUUUCUGCUCUCUCAUUUCCAUACUCUUCCCAUUCCCUUCUGUUUGUGUUAUCACGGUUAGGCCACGUUAACAUUUUAUAUUCAUAUUAUUUUUUAUUUUAUUAUUUUUAUAAAAAAAAUAAUAUAAAAUGUUGAUGUGACUUAAUCGUGACCACACAUCACAGAGGAGAUGAGGAAAGUAUGAAAAUAUGAGGCAAGACAAUCCGCCUCCAUAUAAAAAUGGUCACUGAUGAGAGCUCUAUCAGUGGGAGUGGAUUAGAUUUAUUAUUGGGAAUUGGGGAGAGAGAGGAAUCAGUAGAAGAGCAAGCAGAUAGAGUUGAGCAAGGCAGAGGAGGAUGAAACUGAGAGGAGGUGGAGAUUUGGGAACUUGGUGGCGGCGAUGGUGGCGGUGGGCGGGUGGGAAGUGAGUUCAGUUGAGAUUAAUUUAUUGGCCUUCUCCGCGAGUGGAAUGUUAUUGUCUUGUCUUCUAGAUCCAAAGAUAAACUAGUCUCUGUCAGAGAAUAGUGUGUUUCCUUUGUUUUUCUUCCUUUCUACCUCAUUUUCCCUUAUUUAUACUAGCAAGAAUAAAAAUUUAUAAUAAGAGAAAAUGUAAAUUGAUUUCUAAAUUUUUUUUCUUUAUGAUAUUCAAAUGAUUUUGCCUUGCUGAAUGAGACUGUUCAUAUCUUUGACUACUAGUUCUGAAUAAAUAUUUCUUUAACUAAAAGUUUACAAGGCAACUGAAAUGAUUACUUAGUUAUAAGACUUUGGAAAAAAAAUUACAAGUAUUUUGUGUGCAAUUUACUAUAUUAUGCAUAACUUUUAAUAUAUUAAUUUAUUUAAGUUAAUUUGGUCUUUUAACUUUUAUUUGGUUGAUUAAAAGAGUUUUGUUGAUAGGUAGUUUAGAUUAUAAUAAAAUAAAAUAAUUACUAAAUAAAUAGUUUUUUUAAUAAUAUGAUAUUAUGUACAUUAAGUGGUGGAGGGAGUGAGUUAAGCUUCACAAUGAGAUAGUCAUAAUAAUUUGUUCAAAUUUAUCUUAAUGAUAAUCGAACUUAAGACUUCUUAUGUAUGAGAGAUUUUUCAAUUUACUAGAAACACAUUGUAAAAAUACAAUUGGUUGGAAACUUAAAAAAUACAAUUUCAAACUAUUUUAUUAUGACACUUGGUGUAUCAAGUCAUGUUUAGUGUUCACACCACACUGAAAAUUUUCUCCUCACUUACAAGUCAAAAGGAAUACUAUUAAAUCGUAAUAUAAGUGACUACUAAAUAACUAAUUUAUAUAUUUGAUUUUUAAAAGUUUAGGGGAAAGGAAAGCUAAUCCAUCAAGGCCAAGGCAUAUAACAAGUAUCCUCGAGAACUUACACAAGGGGUCUUAGUCCUUUUUUUGUUUUUACAGAUCUUGCACAAAAAAUGGUUGCUUACAAUGGAACUCAAACAUAGACCUUGCAACUCAACCAAUCCUCAGUGGAAAAUACACAUGUAUUUGAGCAAUCUUUUAAUUAAUUUAAACUAAAUUAUCGAGUCAAAACUCCAUGCAAUAAACAUAUUGUUUUAAUUAAAUUAUUCAUAUACAAUAAUAAAAUGUCUAUUUAUAUCAUAGAUUCUAAGAUUUGAUAAAGAGAAUAUUUCCAAGAUGUGCAUAGACAUAAAACACAUACACACUACUCUAACUAAAUUAAUCAAGAACAAUUCUGCAAGAAAAUGGAAGAUAUGUGACUUUUAUUUAUUUCCUAGAUUCUAAGAAGGAUAAGAAAAUGUUGUCGGAGAAAAAGAAAGGUAAACGGGCGAUAAGAAGACGAAUACAACACAAUGAUACAAUUGGGGCUUCGAGAAAGUGCCCUUUUGGUAUCCACUAAGGCCAAAAACCCAUCACAAUAAUUGAAUUACCAAUGUCUUAUUAGAAAGUAAAACACAUUAUUUUGGCGAUUUUGAAACUUGAAUGACAAAUAUGACAUAGACAAUAAGGAUGUGUGACUCAGAUACCAGGUUGGAGGAAAAUGGACUGAAGUACAAAGGUUAAGGCAAGGAGAUAUGUGAGAGGUAUUACAUGAGUUAAUUAUCAAAUUAUUAUGACAUAUUUUAUCGCGUUUUUUAUGAGAGAUUUUUUAGUGUGCUGAAAACACAGCUCGAUACAUCAAGUGUCAUCACAUAACUGAUUGGAUACUUGAAAAAAAUAAAAUUCAACUUGUAUGAUGACACUUGAUUUAUCGGGUUGUAUUCCGGCACACUAAAAAGUUGUCAUCUCCUAGUUCAGAUAUACUGCUCUUUAUUUUAAACACAUCUUUGUACUCAUUAAAAGACAAAAAGACAAGCAAAUAUUUUGGUCCCAGUAUGCAAGAACCAUACAAUAUACUUAGAAAUAUCAAGCAUCCCGUUGGAAAUCAACUGUAAGGCAAAUAUUAUCAACGAAACAAAAGAAGGAAUUGCACAAUUCAUUUGGUGAUUAGGCGAACUAACAACAAAAAAAAUAUAAAAAAUAACGAGUCAAUAAUUUAAACACUGAACUAAAUGAUCCUUACGAAGAUGUGGGUUGUUGAAGAGUUAGAUCAUCACUUUCCUUAACUACACCAAACAACAUACUCCAAAUGGCUUUUGCAAUCAUUGUUUUACCUAUACCGCCCAUACUUCAAAUUCCAAUUAUUUGAACAUCAGGUGAACCUCCAACAUCCAAGUAUUUAGUACUGAAUUCUUGCACGCAAAAAGUUGUUCCAACUGAGUGCUUGGUUUCUUUUAAGUCUGUAGUUUUCAGUAGUCUCCUAAUGUCUCCAACAAUUUUCUCGAUAAACAAUCAUUGAUGUCUCGCGGUUAAAAUUCAAAAUUAUACAAAAGUAAGAUUCAUCAUGCAACUGCAAGAUUUAUAUCAACUAAAGGCUUUUGAUUCAAAAUGGUCCCUGAGAUUUGCAUCAUCCAUAAGUUUGGUCCCUGAGAUUUAAAAUUAAUAGAAGUAGUCCCUGCGAUUGUCCACCAUCCAUGAUUUUAGUCCUUCCGCUAAAGUUUUUGGCCAGAAGUUGGGCAAUUUUCAAAGCUUCGUAACUCAAUCGUUUUUUAACCAAAUUCGACCCAUAAUAUAUCAAAAUGAAGAUAGGAAAGUGUAGAAUAAGAUUAUAUCUAUUUGGAAGCCCAAUCAAUGGAAAACUGGAAAACUUGCCGGAAACUCGCCGAAAACUGGGUAAAUUUUAAACAUUCAUAACUUCUUCAAUACUCAACGAAAUCAAGUGAUUCAAAAACAAAAACCAUACUUCUCAACAAGAAGAAGAGAAUGGUACCUUUUUAAAUGGCUAACUCGCCUUGGUUUGGCCGGAAAACGGCUCGAAAGUGGCUGUUGAAAAACGAGUUAGCAACUUUCGAGCCGUUUUCCGGCCAAACCAAGGCUUUUUAGCCGUUAAAAAAGGUACCAUUCUCUUCUUCUCGUCGAGAAGUAUGAUUUUUGUUUUUGAAUCACUUAAUUUUAUUGAAGACGUUAUGAACGUUUAAAGUUUAUCCAGUUUCCGGCGAGUUUUCCAGUUUUUCCUCGGACCAGUCAAUUUUGAGGCUAUUUUCCGACCAUCGUCGGCAACCAUUGGGCUUCCAAAUAGAUAUAAUCUUAUUCUAUACUUUCCUAUUUUCAUUUUGAUAUAUUACGGGUCGAAUUUGGUUAAGAAACGAUUGAGUUACGAAGCUUUGAAAAUUGCCCAAACUUCCGGCCAAAAGCUUCAACGGAAGGACCAAAAUCAUGGAUGGUGGACAAUCUUAGGGACAACUUCUAUUGAUUUUAAACCUCAGGGACCAAACUUAUGGAUGAUGCAAAUCUUAGGGACCAUUUUGAAUAAAAAACCUCAACUAAAUGCCUCAUUCAUCAUGAUUAGAUAUUUUGGUAGCGAAAACGUUUUGAAUAAGUUAGAUUUGAUCGAGAUGACUAGUUAAGUUCAAUUUAGCCGUGUUUCUGAAAUGCAUUGUAACCGUAUUAGUUAAGCUCAGUUAGAUUGCUCAUGAACUAUAAGAAGGCGUUUGUUUGCCCUCACUAAACCGUAUUAUAGCUUUUAGUCAUACAAUUAGAAAUCCAUUAGAAUUAGUAUAUGGGUUUGACAUACGGAGGAUUCGUCCUUCACGCAUUACCAAAAGCUCCAAAGUUUUUUCCUAUAAACGUAUAAAAUCAAAGUCUGAUCAUAAUCUCCUUAUUUUUGGUGAAUUAGUGAGUCUUAGAAGCUAAUACAAGACAUUGGAAUUAAAUUUAGAGGAAAAAUUAAAAUACCUGUCCGCUGUGGUUUUAAGAUUCCGGCCACACAAAUCUGCAGAAGCCUUAAGAUCCUUCUCCACUGCUCGACCUCAUCUGGAUCUUCAUCCCUUUCAUGCUAACAAAGUUAAAAGAAUAAGGUAAAGUGAGACACCUAAUAAAAGUUUAGGUGGUAAAGUGAACAAAUGAGCAUAUAGAGUGAAGUAAAAUUUUGUCUACAUAAGUGUCAUAGAAAUGCCUUUAAUAUUUUUUACAUAUAGAAAAUAAAUAGGGUUAAUUACAUCGAUGUUCCCUGAAUUUGUCAUUUAUCUUCAUUUUCAUUCUUAAACAUUUUAUUUGUUUUAUAUGAUCUUCAAGCUCGCUAUUGCAUGACUUUUUUUUUUAUAUCCUUUUCGUCAACUUCAUCUAUUUUUCUAUUAAGUAGAGAUGAUAAAUUUAAAAUUCAUCCCACAACCUAAAAAAUGGGAAAAAGGAGGUGGAUGUACAAAAUUCUUGCUAUGCCCUCUAUAUUUAACAGAAAAAUAAAAAUAAAUUGGUCAAAAAUAGAUUUUGUUAGAUUAGUCACUAACGGGGUUCAAACUCACACCGUCAUGCAAGAUCUUAACUCAUUUCCACCACUAUAGUAAAGGGCCACUUGCAACCAAAAAAUAAAUUGAAUUAAUGGAUAUAAUUGAAUCACCACAUGAGAGAGUUUGAGAACCACAAUAAGAAAAAAAAAAAAGAAAAACUAUUCUAGAACGAAAGUAAAAUUCUUGACAACAAUGUUGUAUAUUUGAAAAAUAGUUCAAGCAGAUUAAGAUGUUAGCACAGAGUCAUUUAUCUCGUUUAUUGAACAAACAACGAGGACAUCAAUGCCGUUUUUUCUCUUUUGAAAUUCCUAAACAACAAAAUUGAGAUUUCUUUCACAAAAAUUACCAUAAAUUUUGACAAAAUUGACGGUCGAAUUAUAAAUCCAGCAGGCAAAUCGAAAACAAUCACAGGAGCUUAGAACACACCACAUCAACAUUUAGCAAGCAGUCUCAUAGGAAAUCCCAAUCAAGAUAAAACUAUUCAACAAUUUAUUACAUUUCGUUCAUAUAAGAGCAUGGUUAGGAGGAUUAUUUAAUUGACGUUAUAACAUCUUUCUACAAAGAAAAAAAUGAAAAAGAAAAUAGGGCCUCGGCACCCGUGGCAAAACCCAACAUGGAUUAGAGUACGUUUCAGCCUGACCUUCUGUAAAAGCUAUAGGCCACAGCCACUGUUGCCACUGCUCCAACCACGGCAGCAGCUGCGAGAACAUCGCUUUGCUCCCAGUUCCCAAUCAAGCUUGACAGCUUCCGUAAGGCAUCCUUUGUGGCACACGACUCUGUGGUUUCUUUCGACUUCAUUUCCUCACUUCCACCGUUCUCCUCCAAACUUACUUCUUUGCAGCAUGUAAAUCCAUCACUAUUAGCACCCUGGCAACAGCUUGAAAAGUUCUCAUUAUUCUCAAUAUGAUUGCCCUUUUCUUGGUGAAUCUGAUUGCUAUUUUCAUGUGGCUUCUCCUUGAUUUUCUUAUUUUCUUCUCCAUUUGGAAGUUCCCGGUCAUUAAUUUGUUCAGCUUCAUCAGAAAAUGCUCCCAUUUGGCCUCUGUAAGGAAUGAAAUUGAAUUUCGUGUUCAGCUAUUUAAAGAUUCAACUCUUAAGUUUCUUCAAUGCAGUUACAUCCAAUUUAGAAACAUAUACAGAGUAAUACUGUUGUAUCCAAUUCUUUUGUGCUUUCUCCACAGAAGUUCCUCGAUGUUAUUGUAACUCUAUAUCAAUAAAUCUAUCAUACAAGACUAGACAUAACCAUCAAUUGAAAAAUAUGACAACACAAGCUUCCGUCCAGUGAAAUUUUCAUCCAAAGACAAUAGGCAAAACCGAAAAUCUACAAACCUCCAAAGUCGUUCUAUAAUCUCUCCCUUCCCAAUAUGCUCAUCAAGCAAUUCCGGCACAUCAUCAGGAGUGACGUAGCCAUACCUGCAAUUAAUAAUACAUAAUAUUCAAAUUUCAUCGAUCCCAAUACGACAAAAUUUUAGAUUGUUAUGAUCCGAAUAUUACCAAUGGCCUGUUAUGCUUCCAUCUGAACCUGGGCUGUAGAUAAUCAAGUUUCCAUUGUGGCCUCCAGUGUGAAAGCAAGCAGCAACAAAUAUCUGAUUCGUCAAUCCUCGUAGCUCAGCCUCCUCUUUGAACUUAUUAAUGAGAACACAUGCACUAUCACGAUUCCAUUCCUCUCGACUACCAUGUGCACAUACAAAUACAUAGGAGCCAGUCAACGACUCUUGCACUCCGGAAGCCCAUGGUUUGUGAUUCACAAGGACAUCAUCAACAAAGCUGCCCACAUCCGACUCUUUCAAGCCCCUUUGACAACAAACAAAAACAACCUCAUAAUCACAAAAAGGGAUUUACAGGCAAGGAAUUAGUCGUAAACUGAGCCAUUAAAUUCAAAGGAAAACUAAUGAAAAGAGCUUGAAAACUUUGAGUUUUAACGAUAAGGACAAAAUAAAGGGUAAAGUGAAUAGUACCAGGAUUGACUUUUUAGUGCAAAAAUGUGGUUUUUCGUUAAAGUGAAAAGUACCAAGAGCUUUUCGUUAAGGUUCCCUAAAUUCAAUUUCUACAACUAAUUUCAGAAGCUAACACACAUCUAAUCAUCUAUUUAGGUCAGUGGAUUCAUGUUGGUUAUGGAAUGGGCCCUCCAUUAUGAAUUAAUUACGGUUUGCCAUUGUGUGUGUUAGUGUGGGCCGUGCUUAACAGCUGGGUUGGGCUGCUGCAUUUGGGCCCAGGGUGCAGCUCUCACGGGUUUUGGGCUGGGUUUCACCGAAAUAUCAAAUGACUCUUUUGCCCCCUUCAGUCCUAAUCCGACGGCCACCAUUUGCGGCGUUUGUGGUCUGCAAUUCGGUGGGGGGGGGAGGUGGGGUUAGCUUGCUUUCAAUCUCGUCAAGGAGUUCGUGCAGAGAGGCAGGGGAUGACAUCAAGUUUAGGGUGUGCACAGUGAGAGAGAAGAGGGUAGGAGCUAGAGAGAGGGGGGUGGGUUCUGUCCGCGGACGUAGGUUGCAGAGAGACAGAGAUGGGGAAAAGUAUGGGGGUGGGGUUGAGGGGAACGUGUACACAGAGAGAGUGAGGAAGGGACAUAGGAGCUAGAGGUAUGGGAAAGGAGUCGAGGAGUUGAGGAGUCGAGGGGUUGAGGGGUUGAGGGGUUGAUUUGUCAGGGGCUGCUGCAUCCUUCCUAUUCAAAAGGUAACAAAUAAUUUUCAAUUCAUUCUUUACCCUUGAAUGUGGAUUUACUGUUCGGGGUUGAGGAGGACAUCAUAUAUCUUCCCUUUUUCUGAAUUUUAGUUCUGUCUUCUUCGACUCUUAUAUCUUCCCUUUUUCUGAAUUUUCUUUAUUUCUCAUCCUUUAAACUUUGUAUUUUUUUUAAAUAUUUAUUUUUUUGGUGAUGCAGAUAGAUGAACAUGUUCAAAGGGGAAUCAUGAACCACAGAUCACUGCAUCCGAAUAUAGUUUGAUUCAAAGAGGUCAGUGAUCAUAAACUAUUUUCAUUUUGUAUUUUAAGAAUGAAUUUGGCAAGUUUUGUUUGAAUUUUGUAUAAGUAUCUGCUGAGGGUGGGUGGAUGAAGACAGAACAAACUAAAUUUGGCCUCUGGUGUGCUUAAACUGGUACGGGGGAGGGUUAGAACUUUGAGCCCAUGAUGCAGUAGGACUAGAGAAAUGCGGCAAUCCACCACUUGCAGAAUUAUUGUCAAAAUAACUCUGCUAAAAAUAUGAGCUAUGCUUCCUGCACUUUGUUUUUACUGUGAAGUGGAAAUAGUCUUUAGCGUGGCUUAUUUGUGAUAAUUGAUAAAGAGGUUAGUGUUUAAGACUUGAGAGUAGUGCGGUGUCUUUCUCGCUGGUUCUGAUGAUGGAGUACACGGCUGGGUGAGAACUCUUCGAGGGAAUAUGAGGAUGAGAUAAAGUAGUUUCAAAUACAGGGAAAAUUUCAUUGGAAAUGAUUUUAGUUUAGUUUCAGCUAGGGAAAGUUAGGUCUGAAGCAUUUUUACAUAAACAGUCGGUCAUAAUAUAACUAAAACUUACAUACUUUUUCGAUUUAAUUGUUGUUUUGCAUCAGGCAAAGUUUUUCUUCCAGCAGUUGAUAUCAGGAGUUAGUUGCUGUCAUUUGAUGGUAUGUAAUGUGGCACUUUUCUGCUAAUGCGUUGUAUACUGUUAUUUAUUUCUCUUUUGAUAUUGGAAGUGUUGGUUGUAGUAAGGAAAUAAUUCGUUUCAAUAGUAUACGACUUCGGUUUAAUAGUAUAUGACUCAGUUUUUGAAUAGCACUCAGGUGGUAUUACGACUUAGUUUUCUAAAUGCCAAUAACAGCUCUAGAUUUUGUCUCAAGUCAAGUAUUCUUACUAAUGUAGCAUUUUGUUGGCACAUCAGUAUGUUUUGAUUGUUUCUCUGCUUGAAUAGAGAAUUGUUAACGUCCGGGUGGGAACGUGGGUCAGCUCAUGUUUUAGUCUCUCCGUCGUAAGCAAUUUUACAUGGUACUCUUCAAUGUAGCUAUAGGUAAGACAACACUCUCAGUAUUCCAUAAUCAAACCACCAUUUGAACUUUUUUUCAUCCACCAAGUUAAGCUUUUAUGUGCCAUCUUGAAUAGUUAUAAGUUAUUGCUUCAGAUUACUCCAGUGCGACAUUGUUGUUCUCUUCCUUACCUCUCAAGCUUGCUUAAUAUACCAAUUCUUAUUACUGUUGUAUUGUUAAGAAAUACUCAAUUGCGGAUUCAGUUCAUCGUUUUGAAUCGGAUAAAAAUUAACCACUCAGUGGUUAAUUAUCUAAAUGGGCGGUAGGUCUCGGGUUCGAGACUUGUGAGCAGUCUCUCCAUAAAUGGGGGUAAGGCUAGCCGACAUUCACCUCUCCCAGACCCUGCGUAAAGCGGGAGCCUUGUGCACUGGGUACGACCUUUUUAGUGGUUAAUUAUCUAAAUCCUAUAAAUUCGGAUAAAAAUUAAAGCAACUACAGAACAAAAACCUCAAGAAAUCAACGCAAAUUUACCUGUAUUUGAUCAUUUUUGGGCAAAUCAACACAUCGCCGUCGCAAAACUCAGUUCCUUCGCAUCCUUCAAUUACUGUCAACGUCGUCUAUCAAAUACCAAGAAAAAAUGUGAGUAAUGGAGUCAACUCAGCUCAACACCAGAACUCAGUAGCUCCAGGAAAUAAGAAUGGUAAGAAAAAGCAAUCAGAAACGUCGACGAAUUGAGCUGGAAAAUGGACCUUAAUGGUGAAGUCGUUCUCGCGAGCUUUGAGAGCGGAUGCGAAGAACUUAGGGAGUGGAUCGGACUCAGGGCCUUCGAUGCGCCACGGCCAGGCCUCCAGGGUCUUGUAGCAAAGGAAAACGUGGUGAUAGCUCAACAGUGUAUCGUCGUCAGUGUCUUCAUCAGACUCAUAUGACUUGGUCUUAUAGUUGUCCCAAAUAGUAAGAGCAUCAGACAAAUCCCAUUUUACAAUAUCCACUCCUGUUUUGUUCAGCUUAAUUAUAUUAUCUCCUCCAUAAAAUCUUGCUUUUACAAGAACUAUGUCGCCACCUUUCAAAUUGAGCUUCUUGUUUGAAAGAUUUCCCAACCAAAGAUAAUAUUCAUGGGAAGCAGUUAUGGCGGCCUUAAUUGUCCAGAUGCUAAAAUGAGUUCGUUGGGUACGAUUAACAACAUCAAUGCAUAGAUCCCCAGUAGAGUUGGAGUUGUCUGAAGAAUAAAUGAUGCCCAAAGCCAACCCUCCUAUAUAAUCAAUACUUGGCGGCACUUCAAAUUUGACAGUUUUAUCCUCUCCCGCGACAUAGGCUAACCAGUUAGGAAUAUCAUUUCCAGAGAGAAAAAUUCCACCAAAUGCAUUUUUCUACAACAUGGGGUGCAAAGUCAGUAUAAGCAACAAUACAAAAAGCAGAGAGAGAGAGAGAGAGUACCAUACCGUUCGGAGGUUCUCCUUAAAAGUAUCAGUGAGACUGGUACACCCUUCCAUUUUAAUGUAAAUUAUCGAACCCAUGUAGUCCAACGAGUUCUUAAAUUUUGGAAUAUCUUGAGUUUGCGGCAGUCUUUCAGUAACAAUAUCCUCAUUUUCGACAUCUCUGAAAUGUCGGACAUUAUUUCCAGUGCAGUGCAGUAAUUCGCUUGCAGUAAAAGCAAACUGUUCGGCAAAUCUGGGAUUUCCUGAAGGUUUGUGCAAUGAUCGAGAAUUAAUACCAGAAGCUGAGAAAGGCCACUGAGAAUGGGUAGCCUAUUAAAACCAUUCCCACCUAGACCUAAAAAUGUUAAAGAAGAUAGACUCCCAAUUAUUUCGAGAACGGCACCAUCUGUUAUAUUGCAGUCACUGAGAUCUAAUACGUCAAUCAUCUUCAGUUGUGCUAAAAAAUGGUAACCCCCACACAAACCCUUACAGCCACUGAGCUCCAAUUUAUUGAGAUGUGGGAGUUUUGAAAAGUCUGGUAAUUCAGUCAGGUGAUGACAGUCGUUAAGAAGGAGAUACUUCAACUUCUUAGGCAACUGUUACUCAAAAAGAGAAAACAAUAAUAAAAAUUCAAAUAAAUAAAAGAGAGAAUGCAUGAUGAUGACUGAUGUUGAUAUUUACAAGGACAUUGAUAAUUAUAUCGUACCAGGUCCGAAUCCUCCCAAACUCGUACGAUCUUGCUGUUGCUCAGGUUUAAAUAAACUAGGUUUCGUUGAUCAAAAUCUGCUGGUAUGGCUUCAAGAGGAAAUCCAAUCCAAUCCAACGCUCUUAACUCCUUGGAAAGAUGUUUGUAGCUUCCAGUCAGCUUUACAUUAGCCAGGUCGAGAAAUUUCAGACGCCACAUCUUCUUAAACGCUUUCGUACUGAAGCUUUGCUCGUCAUCAGAAUGUUCUGGCAAAAAUAAGUGUAGUCCUUCAACUGCUUCUGUUCCCUGUUAGAGAUCCAAAAUAAAAAAGGAUAAUAUUCACACGAAGCAUAGCUGUGAAUUGGAUGAAUGAACUACUAGAAAGGUAGGGCAUACAACAUAAUUAUGUAUUCUCUCUUUCAAUUUACAAUGGAUGAAAGCCUUUUUUCUUAAAAUACACUAUGUACAACAUACAUUAUAUAUAUGCGGAUAUGCGUAUAUACUUCUCUUUAUUUACAUGUACUUAACAUAACAUCUUUUCAUUGCAAAAGUACUUACAGAUUCGUUCCUUAGCACGCUUUUUGCAUCUUCACUAUGCCACAAAUGACUACGUUUUCCCAAUUUCACAGGAGAUUCUGCCCGCACAAUUUCUCUUCCCAUAUCUCGAAUCAAAUCAUGCAUCCUCAAUCUUUUCCUUUCAUCAAUAUAUAGGAGACAUCGAUCGCAGAGUGUGGUAAUUUCUGCUUCUACAGAAAAACGACUACAACCAUCCAAUACUGGAGUGGCCACACUUAUAUGCACUCCAAUAAAGAAAUUAGAUAUGUCUAGGAACACACCCUUCUCAUGAUCAUCACGUAGUCCAUCGUAGCUUAAUUUAAGCGUUUCAUGAAUUUUUCCGUCUGGAAUAUUUCUCAAUUUAUCCAAUGUACUUUCCCAUAUGGUUUUACUCUUUUUCUUAGCCAACAAACGACCAACAACUUUCAGAGCUAGGGGCAAUCCUCCACAAUAAUCAACAAUAUCUCUUGCCAAUUCAAUAUAUUCUUUAUCGGGAUAAUCAUUUCCAAAGGCAUGCCAACUAAGGAGCUCAAAAGCUUCUUUCUCUGUCAUUGCUUGUGCCUUAUAUUUUUUAUCCACCUUUUGUAUAUUCAGCACAUGUUCAUCUCUUGUUGUUAUAAUAAUUCUACUCCCUGGACCAAACGAUUCAUGUUCUAUUGCCAAUUCAUCUAAUUGGUCUGCAUCAUCUAUGUCAUCAACCACGACAAGUACCUUCAUGCUUCCAAGUCUUUUCUUGAUCUCUUUGGUCCCUUCGGCAACACUGCUUACCUUAAUGUCAGGCUGUUUUAAAAUAUCUCGAAGAAGUUGUUCUUGCAAACUAACCAUCGCUUUCUUUUUACUCCUCACAUCUUCAAGGUAACAUUGACGACUAAAACUAUGCUGAUAAUUGCUACAAACGGCUCUGGCAAGCAUUGUUUUACCUAUACCGCCCAUACCACAAAUUCCAAUUAUUCGAACAUCAGGUGAACCUCCAACGUCUAAGUAUUUAGUACAAAAUUCUUGCAAGCGAAAAGCCAUUCCAACUAAGUGCUUGGCUUCUUUAAAGUCUGUGGUUUUCAGUAGUCCUUUGACGUCCCCAACAAUUUUCUCGAUAAACACCCCUUCACACCUACGAGUAGAAAUUCCAAAUUACGAGAGCCAUACUAAAUGCCUUAUUCAUAAUGACUAGAUAUUUACAUAUUGAAACAUAUUUGAAUAAACUGGAUUAAUUGAGCUCAAUUCAACCACGUAUCCAAUCUUUGAUUAUAAUGUGAAUACAUUAGAUCAUUGGUGAUUUGACUAUUAUGCAAUUGUAGCUUUCAGUAAUAUAAUUAAGAAUCCAUUACAAUUGGUAUUUUAAAUUGAUAAAGUGUGGAGCAUUUGUCCUUCACACACCCAUAAAAAACAAAGCACGUACCCUGCGCUUCACUUCCUUAAUUUCCACGGAAAUUAUUAUGCAAAUGCUCUACCUUUUAUAAAAUUCAUAUACCAAUUGUAAUAAAUUUUUAUGUAGGGACCAAAAUUACAGUUCUAUUAUAGUUCAGAGAUCAACGAUCCAAUUUUUCUUAUGACAUAUAAAAUCAGAUUCAAUGCCUUAAUUAUAAUAUCUUAAUUUUGGUUGAUUAGUGAAAUAUGGUGAUAUGAAAUUUGAAGUAAACAAAAAAGUAUACCCGUCGGCCGUGGUUUUGAGGUUCCAGCCGGCCAAAUCUGCAGAAGCCUUAAGAUCCUCUCUCCACUGCUUGACCUCAUUUGGAUCUUCAUCCUUUUCAUGCUUCUGAAAUGCUUCCCCAAAACUAUCUUUCUGUUUCCUGACUUGAGAAGGGUCAACGUCGUAGAAUAUUGGACACACUAUCUUCCCCUCUUGAUCUUUUAGGCACCUCAUGAUCUUCGACAGCUCCCUCAGGCACCACCGGGACUCCGCGUACCUCUUCGAGAAGACGAUGACAGCGAUCCUCGACCCUUCGAUUUCUUGGUCAAGUUCACUCUGUAUGUCUUCCCCCCUUCUGAGCUGUUUGUCUAUAAACGUGUUAAUUCCGGCAUUGCGUAACGCAAUGAAGAGGUGGUCUGUGAAGGUGUUGCGGGUAUCUUCGCCUCUAAAGCUCAGGAACACCUCGUACUUCCAGCGGUUUGAGCUCUGCGAGGAAGACGAAGAGGCGGCAGAGCCAGCUCCUUGGGCGGAGCUGCUGGUAUCCAUUGCAGACCGUAGAAGUGCAGCUUGGCUUUCAAAUAACCAAAGUCAAGUCUUUACCCAGUGUCGGUGGCCGUUUUAGAUAUUUUGCAUGGGCCAAUAAUGUCACUGCUGUGUCGAUAACGCGCUCCCACAGUUUAAUUUGUAUAAAUGCUUUACGAUGCAAUUUCCUUUCUUUUGUAGUCUUUUGAGAAUCUGCCGCCCAACUUUGACCGGUUGACGAUCUUAUUGUAUUAUAAGAUGUGCAUUUUGAUUAUCAUCAUUUAAUGUGAUGUAUGUUCAUCAAAUUAUUUAUUAUUAUUAGAUGAGUUUAAAUUUUAAGAUUUGUACUUAUGCACUACCCACCCGAAUCUCGAAAUUCAAACACAUUUAACGAUGAUAAAUAGAAUGAUAAACAUAUAUCAUACUAAAUAAUGGUGAGCAAAAAUGCUCCCGUAUUUUAAGGGUGGUGCGCAGCACGUUCCAACUGUUGGAGUCAGUAGUAUCAACGGGAAGAGACCUCAUCUCCAACAACCCAUCUUAACAAAAAAUGCAGAAAAUUAAACUCCAACAGGCUAACUAAAUGACUCUUUAUUUUGUGAACGGUAACUAACUAAAUUUAACCAGGAGACAUUCGUAGCUUACGUCAAAAGGAUCAAUGUUGUAAUAUAAGUAAUUUACUUGCUCAAAAUAAGGAUCAAUUUAGCUACGAAAGCAGGGAGAUGAUCGAGCUCACGAUAGCAGAUUUUUUUAUCCUAUCGUCUUGCAAGGGAAACAAGCUACCAAUUGCUUGCAUCAUCUGAAGCCAUCCAACUAAUGGUUGAAUUUCUCAGUCAAGACUAUGCUCAAGGCAUCAGUGUGCAGGCCAGACUCGACAGCAUAGCCACACUACACAACCUCUCGCGCUGCCAUCAGAUUAUUCCGUCUCUGGUCUCUUCGGGCGUAGUGUUUUCAAUGCUAAAACUGCGGCAUGGAAGCUGUUUCUUUUUGAGACUGUUCCAAUUAUGGUUCGAGAAACAAGCAGUCAAGGAAUAAGUUGAUGGGGUGAGUACAACGGCAUUGAGACUGUUCCAAUUAUGCAGGAAGUUGAUGCAGAAGGAGAAAAAGUUGACGGGGUAAGUACAACGGCAUUGAGACUGGUAGAGGAGAAGCUUGCAAAGAUCAGCAGUGGACGAUAAUCUCGACCAAACUCUGAGCUUUGCCAAGCAGAUUAAGAUGUUGGAACAGCCGUUCAUCUUGUUUAUUGAACAAACGAGGAGGACAACAAUGCAGAAUCAACGCUUGAAUUCAAAGUCCCAACAGGCAAAUCGAAAAUAAUCACAAGAGCUUAGAAAAUACCACACCAACAUUUGGCAAGCAGUCUCACAACAAAUCCCACUAUCAAGAUAAAACCAUUCAACGGUGUGUUGGAACAACAGAUUUCAGUUGUGUAAGCAAUCAACAUAAAGGAACAGUGAAUACUUUUGUAACUAUAUAUGGAUUAGCUUCGGGAAUUCAUCAAACCCUCCGAAAAAGAACGUAUAGUGUAGCUACCAUAUUCUCCUUUCAUAUAAGAGCUUAUUUAAUUGACGUUAUAACACCUUUCUACAAAGAAAAAAAAGAAGAAAAUAGGGCCUCUACACCCAUGGCAAAACCCGACAUGGAUUAGAGUACGUUUCAGCCUGACCUUCUGUAAAAGCUAUAGGCCACAGCCACUGUUGCCACAGCUCCAACCACGGCAGCAGCUGCGAGAACAUCGCUUUGCUCCCAGUUCCCGAUCAAGCUUGACAGCUUCCCUAAGGCAUCCUUCCUGGCACACGACUCUCUGGUUUCUUUCACCUUCUUUUCCUCACUUCCAUUGUUCUGCUCUAAACUUACUUCUUUGCAGCAUGUAAAUCCAUUACUAUUAGCACCCUGGCAACAGCCUGAAAAGUUCUCAUUAUUCUGAAUCUGAUUGCCGUUUUCUUAGGGCUUCUCCUCCAUUUUCUUACUUUCUCCUCCAUUUGGAAGCUUCUGGUCAUUAAUUUUUUCAGCUUCAUCCGAAGAUGCUCCCAUUUGGCCCCUGUAAGGAAUGAAAUUGAAUUUCGAGUUCAGCCAUUUAAAGAUUCAACUCUAUGUUUCAUCAAUAGCAAUCGAGUAAGGACAUGUAUGAUCAAGCUUAAUAAACAAUUUGACAACAGUACCUACUUGACCCCGUCCCCCCUUCCCCAAAACCACCUUUGGUUUGGUUCUAUAAAAAAAAAAAAAUUGUUUGAUUUGGUUCACACGAGUUGUUUGAUUUGGUUCCUCAAUGUUAAUGUAACUCCAUAUCAAUAAUCUAUCUUCCAACACUAUAAGUAAUCAGCAAUAGGAAAAUAUGACAACAGAAGCUUCAGUUCCAGUGAACUUUUCAUCAGCAGACGGUUGGCAAAACCGAAAACACACAAUCCUCCAAAGUCGUUCUAUGAUCUCUCCCUUCCCAAUAUGCUGAUCAAGCAAUUCCGGCACAUCCUUAGGAGUGACGUAGCCAUACCUGCAAUUAUUAAUACCAUAAUAUUCAAAUUCCUUCAUCUAUCCCAAUACAAUAAAUUUUACAUUGUUAUGAUCCGGAUAUUACCAAUGGCCUGUUAUGCUUCCAUCUGAACCUGGGCUGUAGACAAUCAAGUUUCCAGCACACUUGUGGUCUCCAAUGUGAGAGCAAGCAGUAACAAAUACCUGAUUUGUCAAUCCUCGCAGCUCAGCCUCCUCUUUGAACUUAUCAAUGAGAAUAGGUCCACAAACUCCACAUUUUUAUCUCGACUUCCAUGUAGACCUGUAAACGGGUUAGGUUUAUUGGGUUUGGGUCGGGUUGAACCCGACCCGUUAAGUUAACGGGUCACCCGAACCCGACCCGUUAAGCUAACGGGUCACCCGAACCCGACCCGUUAAGCUAACGGGUCACCCGUUUCACCCGUUAACACCCGUUAACAAUUAUUAUUAUUUUUUUUUUGCAUAAAGUUUAUUUUUUGUUAUUAAAACUUUACUAAAAUUACUAAAAUAUCCUCAACUAACGGGUGCUAACGGGUGUUAACGGGUCUAACGGGUUGACCCAAAGUGACCCGUUAUUUAACGGGUGUUAACGGGUUCACCCGUUAGCGACCCGACCCGUUAAGCAUCCACCCAAAUACAAAUAUUAACGGGUUGGGUCGGGUUAACGGGUUGGGUCCAAAAUGCCAGGCCUACUUCCAUGUGCACAUACAAAUACAUGGGAGCCAGUCAACGCCUCUUGCACUACGGAAGCCCAUGGUUUGUCGUUCACAAGGACAUCAAUUGGUUAGAAACCAAGCCAUGUUACCGGCACACAGCCUCAGAGUAAACAAGGAAAAUUUCAAGGUAUCAACACUAAAACUAGUCCAAAACACACUAAAUUAGCUCAAUUCGAGACUUCGUAAAUUGAAAUGGGAAAAUCAUAAACUCUAUCUCUAGUUAGCAAUCAUCGAAAUCUCCUAGUCAAAUAAAGCAAAUCUGAAGAAUCAAAACACCACUCACUGGUUAAUUAUCUAAAUCCUAUAAAUUUCGGUUAAAAUUAAGCAACUACAGAACAAAAACAUCUUUACCUGUAUUUGAUCAUUUGUGGGAAAAUCAACACUUCGCCGUCGGAAAACUCAGUUCCUUCGCGUCCUUUAAUUACUGUCGGGUCUAUCAAAAACCAAGAAAAAAGUGAGUAAUGGAGUCAACUCAGCUCAACACCAGAACUCAGUAGCUCCAGUAAAUAAGAAACGGCAAGAAAAGCGAAACGCCGACGAGUUGAACUGCAAAACGGACCUUAACGGCGAUGUCGUUCUUGCGAGCUUUGAGAGCGGAGGCGAAGAACUUAGGGAGCAGAACGGACUCAGAGCCUUCGACGCACGACGGCCAGGCCUCGGGGGUCUUGUAGCAGAGUAAGACGUGGCGGUCGUACGCGUUGACAGUGCCAGCAAGUUUUUCCUUGCACAUCUCCAAUCUCUUGAAACCGAACCUCUCGUCUUCGGUGGCUGGAACGGCGACGUCGAGGUCAUCGGAGACCAUUGCUAGGGCUCGGAGAGGAGGGAGGGGUUUACCAGGGGUUGAAGUUGAAAACGAUGAGAGGGAAAAGAUGAGAGAGAAAGAGCGUUGUUGUUUGGUUGUUGUGUUGAUAUAACGAGGAGGCUGAGAAGGGAACCGCGGUGUCGGUGUGGGUGUAGGUGCGUGCGCAACACAUACGGCGCACGAUGGGGUUUCUGAAGAUCGGAGUCGGGACGCGUGGGAUUGGGCACGUGGGGUUUGAUUUGUAGUUCAUGUAUAUACCUCUUUUUUGAGAAUAAAGAUUUUUUUUGGAUCCUCUUUGUAGGGAUUUUAUAGUUUGUGUAUCGUAUUCAUUCAUUGUAAAUCAGACGGUUAGAAAUUACUUUAAAUCUAUAAAUUUAAAAUUAAACACAAAUAAUAUUUAAAGAAAAUUGACUGCAUAAUUAAUACGAUAAACGAACACAAUUAAAAAAUUCUCAGAAUCCUCGUAAAAAGAAUCCGAACUCUUUUGAUGUCUCCGAUCAUAUCGGACGGAAGCUAAAAGAUAAUUCGUGCACGCAAAAAUGGAAGGUCCUACAAACGGAGGAGGACCACUCUCUAUUCCCGGGAAGUGGGGUACAAGCGCGUAUGUAUAUAUCACCCAAUGGGGCACCAAUAUGUUGUACUAGCAGGGAACUGAAUGAGGUGAAAUUGGAAAAUCCCUUAAACUUGGUGAUGUGGCGACCUGUGAUUCGGCCUUCACAUUCUGUCAAGAAACAGGCCGGUCACUUUGUUGAUUAAGUCAAGCAGUCAGCCUUAGCCCGACGUGGACAAGUUCUGGAAGUCUUGUUUCGCUCAUUUAUUUAUUUCUUGUCAAUGACGUGUAAUAUUUGAUUUCAUUUGUUUUUUUGGUGGACUAAUAUUAAAUAUACUUUUGUCAAUGAAUUAAUGAUACAAUUUAGAACGGUGAUAUUCACACAUUUUGCACAUAUUCUUCAAUUUGAUAGUUGAAAAUUGAGAAGAAUGUGUGUGAAAUGUAAAAAGAACGUGUAAAUAGCAUAUCCCUACAAUUUAAUAUAAAGGAAUGUAGAUUUCAAACAACGAUUGUUUUUUAAGGUAACGCUUUUGUUCUUGAUUUUUCAUGUUUGAGCUUGAAAUGAACCGCUUUCAUAAUCUAUUGUAUUACUUUGUGUUCAGUUGAAUAAAGUAUCUUUUUCCAACGAAAAAUAAACGGAAUGGCAUUUAAAUAAGGAGUGUAGAGAGUGUAUGCGUAAGGAAAGAGGCAUGCAAAAUUCAUUUCAGCUCAUACAUCUUUGUGUUGCUUAUGUUGGUCUUUCAAUUAAUUAUGUUGAGAGUGAGGAAAUAAAUUGUACUUAGCAGUGUCAAAUUACAACCCUAAUCGAAAAACGUCUUGUUCGCCGGACCUACUCGACUGCUCCGAACAAUGUAAGGCCGAAAGGCGGACGAUACAUAAUCGGGUUUUUUCGAAGUAGGCAUUCAUAAACAUCAAGGAAGCAUACUUGGUAGAAAAUGAAAGAUCCUCAACUUCAUUCCUCAAAUUUUCAAUGCAAUUGAAUUUCCUCAAAUCUAAGGAACUACCAGAUUGUAAUGCUUGCAAUGGAAGGGAACCAUUGUGUACAUGUAGCAUCCACAUGAAUCAGUUGGAGGCUUGUUGGAGUUUUUAACGGAAUGACCAAAAUGAUGGAUGGUAGACAAUCUCAAGGACCACUUUUGAUUAUUUACCCUUCUAUUGAAUUUGCAAAGGGGAAGAAGUUUUAAAUCCAUUACAAAAGAGAUAAUUGCAGCAUGAUUGAUAACAUGCUCAUCACGUGAUUGGGUUCCUAAAAUUCCCAGGUUGUUGCAGGCUUCCUCGUCCUUGUAGAAUAUUUUGUUCAACAAUUCCAGAGAAAAACAAUUAUUCGAUUCGUUUCAGGUAACAGAUGAGUAGCUUAAUUCAAAACUUGUUUUCGUUCUAGAAGUUUAGAUUAUACAAGUGAAUGGUCAAUAUGAUAUACUCGAUAAAAUUACAUGUCUCCUUUUAAAUUUAAAGUUCAUUAUUUUGAAGUGAUUUUUGGAAUUUAAUUUUUCAAUUUAUUUGAUUGAGAGGUGAGGAAUUGGAGAUAAUUAAUUAUGUUUGGGGGUUAACUGGUAUCCUCUAGAAUAUGUUUUUUUUUUUAAUGAGGAAUCCUCUAGAAAAUGUUUAACUUUAUUUUAAAUUUUCAUGUGGUUUUGGCUUCAAUGAGGCAAUGGCAUAUGUGUAAAUAAACAAAAGUUUAAUUCUAACCUAAGGGGGCUGACGGAAGUCAGGGGCAUGGAUGGAAAAGGAGUUUCUUACUUUGCACGUGGGGCUUUAUUGUUUGGGUUAUUCCUCCUAGCUUUUGUCAUUUUCAUUAAAAUUUAAAUCUUUUUAUUAAGUAAAAUUAUUAAAUAGUUUUUUUAUUAAGAAAUUGUUAUUAGGAUUCUAAAAAUCUCAUUUAGCAUUCUAAAUUUUUUAUAAUUAGAAAAAAAAAUACACUUAUAAGAAGUGUAAAUGAGAUUUUUGAAAUGCUAAUAACAAUUCGAUUUUAUUAAUAAAAAGUUUGAAGAAGGCCUUUUCAUUAAAAUUCCCCCAAAAAAAAAGGAGUAUGCUUCUUCCUAAAACGCUUCUUUAGGCCAUAUAAACAAACAGUGAGACGUAAAAACAUGCCCCAACCUCAAAUAUUUCUCUCACAAACAAGGAGAGAAUUUUCAGUGUGACCGGUACACAAGGUGGUACACCACGUAUCACUAAACAAAUAAUAGGAUAUGUGUGCUAAAAAGUUAAUAACUUAAAAAAUAAAAUUUCCCACUAUUCUUAUUAAAACACGUGAUGUAUCACUUAUAUUCCCGUCACAACUAAAAAUUUCCCUACAAACAGAGAGACGUAAAAACAUGCUGCCAUGGGCUUCAGAGAGGAAAAAAGAUCAGGAAAAAAAAUGACCUGAUUGGGUAAGACUUGUACACAAGUUUGUAGUAAAUGUCUACGUACCUUCCUUACAAGUCUGUCUCUUUACUGUGCUUUCCUUCAAUUCACUGUUGUUUCUUCAUCGUCAAAGCUUUCAAUAUUAAGAUCAAACCUUAAUGUUUUGCAGACCUCAUCAGAUGAGUGAUCUCUUAACUCUGUACCAUUGUGGGUGUCGUCAUCAAACUCAUAUGGUAUAGUCUAAUAGUCUGCCUCAUCAGUAUCAUCAUCUCACUCUAAUGGUACACGCUCAUAGUUCACAUUUUUUAUUUCUGAAGGUAAACAAUGUUCCCAUCCUACAAAAUUCACUCCUGUUUUCUUCACCUUACGAACCUUGUCCCCCCUUUUCAGAUUGAGCUUCCUGUUUGAAAGACUUCCCAGCCAAAGAUAAUCUUCAUGGGAAUCAGUUAUGGUGGCAUCCAUUCACCAGAUGGAAAAAUAAGUUCUCUGGGUAACCACAUCGAGGCAUAGAGACCCACUACACUGGGAUGGUCCGAAGAAUAAACGAUGCACACAGCCAACCCUCCUAUAUAAUCAAAACUUGGCGGCACUUCAAAUUUGACAUUUUCUUCCUCUCUCACGACAUAGGUUAACGAUUAAGGAAUAACAUUUCAAGAGCGACAAAUUUCACCAAAUACAUCCCCCACCUUCCAUUUCUACAACACGGCGUGCAAAGUUUGUAUAAGCAAACAAUACGAGAAGGGCAGAGCGAGAGAGAGAGAGAGAGAGAGAGAGAGAGAGAGAGAGAGAGAGAGAGAGAGUAUCAUGCAACAAAACAUAAAAACUCAUCUGGGAGAAUUAUGACUCUUGUGAAUUGGUAGUAUUAUCGAUGCAUAUGUUAUAUGAUCUUCAAACUCGCUAUAGCGUGACUUUUUUUUUUUGUAUCUUUUUCAUCAACUUCAUUUGUUUUUUUUUUUUUUCAAGUAGAGCUGAUAAACUUAAAAUUUAUCCACAACCUAAAAAAUGGAAGAAAAAAAAAGAGGUGGAUGUACAAAAUCCUUGCUAUGCCCUCUAUAUUCAACAGAACAAUAAAUUGAGUUAACGGAUAUAAUUGAAGUACCAUAUUUGAUUGUGUUUGAGAACCAUAAUAAGGAAAAAAAAAAACUACUCUAGAAUGAAGGUAAAACUCGUGACAACAAUGGUGUACAUCUAAAAAAUAGUUCAAGCAGAUUAAGAUGUUAGCGCAUAGACAAAUAUCUCGUUUAUUGAACAAACGAUGAGGAUAACAAUGCCGUUUUCUCUCUUUCGAAAUUCAUAAACAACAAAAUUGAGAUUUGUUACACAAAAAUUACCAUAAAUUUUGACAGAAUUGGCGGUUGAAAUAUAAGUCCAGCAUCCAAAUCGAAAACAAUCAUAGGAGCUUAGAAAAUACCACAUCAACCUUUAGCAAGUAGUCUCAUAAGAAAUCCCAAUCAAGAUAAAACCAUUCAACAGUUUAUUAGACUUCUCCUUUCAUAUAAGAGCAUGGUUCGGAGGAUAAUUUAAUUGACCUCAUAACAUCUUUCUACAAAGAAAAAAUGAAAAAGAAAAUAGGGCCUCGACACCUGUGGCAAAACCCGACAUGGAUUAGAGUACUUUUCUGCCU
RNAcentral lists this long non-coding RNA (32558 nucleotides) under Malus domestica (apple). RNAcentral's name for it is "long non-coding RNA (MDOM_LNC007845)". The record is from RNAcentral. Lineage: Eukaryota; Viridiplantae; Streptophyta; Magnoliopsida; Rosales; Rosaceae.